ACAGUAUGAACUGUAUGAACACACAGCGGGAAAAACCUGUUUCAGUGUUUACGAGCAGCUGACUCAUGUUUGAAGACUUGAAGAAAGUGGUGGAAACCAGGAACAACAACCUGCUGAAUGUUCUCCUUCCUCUUUCUUCAUUUGACAUCAGACCACGUCGUAGGUGCCAGCAAGCAACGCAGAGAGAUGCAUAGAAGCAGAUUUAUUUUAUUUUAUUUCAUUUUUUUCUCUCUUCAGUCCAUCAGGUGCGGAGAUGUUCGUGAAACAGCUGGAUCUUUAGCUUUUUCUUAAAGAUGGAGAGGGACUCUGUGGAUCGUUCCACCAUCGGGGGACUAUAGAGGAGAAGAGUCCAGCUGCGGUGGCGUCGGGAGGGAGGAGUUCAGGUAGGCGGGAGCUGGUUGAAGACCAGAUGUGCCCUAACCCUAACCCUCUCAGGUCGUUGGUCCUCCAGAGUCCAGACCACAUGCUGGCCUCUCCAUGCUGGACUUCAGGUUGGUUAUGGAUCCACAGCUGCAGUAGACGUGAGUUAUUAAAGCAGCAACAUUCUGAUUUAUUUCUGAUUUAACGUUUGGUUUUCUGUUUCUGAACUUCCUGUCAAUCAAAAGAUUUGGAAACAAAUCCACCAACAUCACAUCACAUUUACCAAUGACAUCAUUUUAUUAAUUGAAUACAUUGUCACAGUGAAAUUAAUCUGUGUGCUUUAUAAAACUUUGUUAUUGGUCAAUAGGAACACGUGGAUGUGAAAGAUUCCACUGAUCAAUAUGAUGAUUGAUUGUAUUGUUUUGGCUUUAUUCUCAGGUCUUCAGGAAGAUUCAUCACUAAACUGUCACAGUUAUUUUAUUAUCAAGUGUUUAUUUCAGUCAUUGAUCUUUCACCUUUAAUUAUCAUGAAUCAGUUUUAUCAAACAUAUUAUAAUUCAUGUAAUCAUGUUGGACAUAAUUCUAGUUUUAUUUAACUGUUGAUCUCAUCUUAUCUGCAUUAUAUUAUAAAUAAACAAGUGUAUAUCAGA
Thunnus maccoyii (southern bluefin tuna) is the source of this 1009-nucleotide long non-coding RNA. RefSeq lists it as uncharacterized. Lineage: Eukaryota; Metazoa; Chordata; Actinopteri; Scombriformes; Scombridae. The transcript has 2 exons. The record is from RefSeq and is a predicted model, not a curated record.